ACCUGGCUGGCUCAGUCAGUAGAGUGCGUGACUGCUGAUCUCGGGGUUGUAAGUUCGAGCCCCGUGUUGGGUA
RNAcentral lists this transfer RNA (73 nucleotides) under Ailuropoda melanoleuca (giant panda). It matches the Rfam family "tRNA". From Rfam's summary of the family: Transfer RNA (tRNA) molecules are approximately 80 nucleotides in length. The record is from Rfam by way of RNAcentral. Lineage: Eukaryota; Metazoa; Chordata; Mammalia; Carnivora; Ursidae.